Boleophthalmus pectinirostris (great blue-spotted mudskipper) is the source of this 2583-nucleotide long non-coding RNA. RefSeq lists it as uncharacterized. The record is from RefSeq and is a predicted model, not a curated record. The transcript has 2 exons. Lineage: Eukaryota; Metazoa; Chordata; Actinopteri; Gobiiformes; Gobiidae.
AGCUGCUUGGGGUCAGGGUGUAGCUACAUGAAUGGCAACAUGAAAAUAAAGCCCUAUGUUUCACUGUCAGCGAUUUUCAAGAUCAUUUAGCUACUUCGGACACGAGAAUUCCCUAAUUUAAUGUCUCUGUGAUCGCUCCCCUCCCUCCAUCAUGCACAUCGUGGUGGACGCGGUUUGGGCUGUGUGGAGUAUCGCGGCUGGGGUCUACGACUAUUUCCACACGAGCGCCAUGGAGGAGCGCAUUCACACACUCGAAAACGUCCUGUCCAUUCACCAGUUUGUGAUUGCUGGCCUCUCCGCUGGCCUUAUUCUUAUGAUGACGUAUAUUUUAUUCAGAAAACACUAAGACACAGACACCUCCCAUAUGUUUGGCUUCUGGAGCAUAAAAUGGGAGAAAGAGUGGGGAAGUACAUGCAUCGUUUUUUCAUUUUUUUUACAACUUGGAUUCGAUCUUGAGGAAGCUAGAAGUUGUCUUGUAUUUGCCUAACCCCUUGGCCAUCCUACAGUUCAGCCUCCUGCCAACAUGAGAUGAACUUUAUACCUUUUUGGCUCAUCAUGUAAAGCCCUGAAGAUAACUUUGCACAUUGACUGUUACCAAGCUUGAAGAAAGCCCAGCCUGGAUGUUGAAAUAGAUGUCUCACAGCAGGAAGGUCCCAAGUUCGACUCCCAGGCUGAGUUUGCAUGUUCUCCCUGUGUCUGCAUAGGUUUGUUCUGGGAACUGCAGUUUCCCCCAUCACUAAAAACAUGUACUAUAUAGCUCAAACAUUGACUGCCUUCUCCCUGGCUCUAGGAGUAAAUUUCCCAUUAUUUUUCCCUUAGUCUUUUUUUUUUUUUUAAAGUAAGUUUGAAAGCUUGCUCAGGGCUAAUCAGCUAUGUGGAAACUCAUGAAAGCAAGACUUGCACUUUGAACUCACAAUAUGCAUCUCACAGUUCGAUAUAUAUUGUAAUAUUUUGUGGAGACUAACAAAAUUGUGUAUAUGCAACUUUUUCCUUUUUAAAGUUUUGGGAAAACCUUGAAAAGCCUUUGAUACUGUAAUAAUAUGAAGAAUUACAAUUUAAAAGUGCUUAAGAGCAGUUAUUUCUUCAUGUAGUCUGCACUAAAAACACCAAAAUGAUCAUGGUCAGUGUAGUUCCAAUGUUUUCCAGCUAUCCUUGCACCAGGCAAGGCAAGUUUAUUUGUGUAGCACAAUUCAUACACAAAGUAAUUCAAAGUGCUUUACAGAAUAAGAAAGACAUUAGAAUCACCAUAACUAUUCAUUUAAUCAGAGAGAAUUGUAAUUUGAUACAUUGUGAUGGCCUCCGAUAUUAUUGUGAGACUUUUGACGAUACGAUAUCAUGAUAUUUUGGUUAUUAUGAUGUACUUUGAUUUAACCAUGUUUCUGAUUGUUACAGAAAGAAAAUUCUGAAUCUUGCGUUUUAAAGAUGCAUUGACUAACUUUUCUGGUCAAAUGCUUUUCUCCAUGGAGAUGUUAUUGCUUUGUCUUGAAUGUUUCACAGUAUGGUAUUAAACCGUUCUAUCUGCAUGGAGACCAAACCAGACCAAGUUACAGGUCAGAUCUGUGUAGAGGCAAGCCCGAUCUCAAGUCAGAAUACCUGUUUUUGUAGGUACUUUUGAGCUGUAAAUCCACUUGUAAUUUAAUAAAUGUAAGGUAGAGCUGUUUAAUGUCAUACUGUGGAACAUUCACGGCAGAGCAGUGACAUAUCCAUAGAAACAAGCAGGUGACAGACAUCCAACCAAAAAGUUAUAUAGUCCACCUUUAAAUGUGCUUUUUGGACUUAAAACAGCGCACAUAGCUGCUUAGUCUUCGUCGUGCCAUUAUUUGAAUGUUUGAAAGUAUGUGAAAAUUGAAUGGGAAAUUUACUUUUAGGACCCAAGCAAACCUUGAAGUGGACUCCCUUAAAGGCCAGGACUCCCCUUAAAAUCUCAGUGGGGUUAUUCUGGUUAAAUGUCUAAUUAAUGAAAACAAACUUAAUAUUUUCUCAUAGGUCAGUUUAUCCCUUAACUUAAUGAUGAAACUUGAAUUUUGUAACCAAAAUUGUAAGACAAAAUGUGUUUGAAUACCUUUAAAGAUGAUAACUUUAAAAUGUUGUUUAUAAUCUUGGUACAAUUCAAAAAAUACAUUUUGUCUUACAUUAACGGUUUUCUUUAACAAUACAGUUGUGUGCCCAAAAUAACUAAACUUCUAAACAUUGUGUAAUUUACUAAAAGUCAAUGAAAAUAAUUGAUUACAAGUGAGCACUGAUAAGAAGGAAUCGUAGACUUUGUUUUAUAGCUGUUCUCCCAAUGAAAAGCUUGUCUGCUGUGUUUCACUCCACUGGAUAGAUCUCACUGUUGACUACUAUUAAAACUGUUUACUUAAUGUAUAGGUUUUGUCUGAUCUACAUUUAUAUCAUGAUUUAAUGUUGUAUUUUGUCUUUGCACAUAGAGCUGCUCUUUGAAAUUCAAAUGUCUCAGUUUAUUUGAUAAUAAUGGUACUGAUGCUGUUUGGUGUUUUAAUGCCAUGUAUGCACCAUCUCUGUUUUAAAUGAAGCCUUGUAUCGAAAGGGAAACAAUUUGAUGAAUAAAUCAUGAUUUUAACCCAA